RNA transcript from Elephantulus edwardii (Cape elephant shrew), 701 nucleotides. It is a transcript of the gene named heterogeneous nuclear ribonucleoprotein C-like, with no coding region annotated. Lineage: Eukaryota; Metazoa; Chordata; Mammalia; Macroscelidea; Macroscelididae. The transcript has a single exon. The record is from RefSeq and is a predicted model, not a curated record.
GCUGUGUGAAGAACUUUAUCAGCGAAGAUGGCCAGAAAUGUUACCAACAAGACAGAUCCCCACUCCAUGAACUCCCGUGUAUUUAUUGGAAACUUGAACACUCUUGUGGUGAAGAAAUCUGAUGUAGAGGCAAUCUUCUCGAAGUAUGGCAAAAUCGUGGGCUGCUCUGUUCAUAAAGGCUUUGCCUUUGUUCAGUAUGUUAAUGAGAGAAAUGCCCGGGCUGCUGUAGCAGGAGAGGAUGGCAGAAUGAUUGCUGGCCAGGUUUUAGAUAUUAAUCUGGCUGCAGAGCCAAAAGUGAACCGAGGAAAAGCAGGUGUGAAACGAUCUGCGGCGGAGAUGUACGGCUCCUCUUUUGAUUUGGACUAUGACUUUCAACGUGAUUAUUAUGACAGGGUGUACAGCUACCCAGCACUGUUCCUCCUCCUCCUCCUAUUGCUCGGGCUGUUGCGCCCUCAAAACGCCAGCGUGUAUCAGGAAACACUUCACGAAGGGGCAAGAGUGGCUUCAAUUAUAAGAGUGGACAGCGAGGAUCUUCAUCAAAAUCAUCGAAGUUGAAAGGAGAUGACCUUCAAACCAUUAAGAAGGAAUUGACCCAGAUAAAACAAAAAGUAGAUUCUCUGCUGGAAAGCCUGGAAAAAAUUGAAACAGAACAGAGUAAACAAGGAGUAGAGAUGAAGAAUGAUAAGUCAAUGCUGUAUUAA